AUCGUCCCAGAAUACACCUCUGGCUCACGUGUUUGUCCCUUUGGAGUCUGUUAAGCCAAUCAAUGAGAGUGAAACUGCAGCCAGCAUCCAGCUCCAAGCUUCCUGCUUUCAGUCCUCUGAUGCCUCCAGCUGUGAUCUCCCAGAUGCUGCUGCUGGACAAUCCACACAAAGAGCCCAUCCGGUUACGGUAUAAGCUGACCUUCAACCAAGGCGGACAGCCUUUCAGUGAAGUAGGAGAAGUGAAAGACUUUCCAGAUCUGGCUGUCUUGGGUGCUGCCUAAGUUCUCACAGGACAGACCCUGUCAUGCAAGCUUAGGCCUGCAUUCCUGUUGCUGUCUAGAUAGGACUAAUCACAGCGAUUAGUGCCAAGUGCCAAGUGUUCUAUCCUGACGUCAGGUUCUGGAUGCCGACCUCUGACUUAUUCUGCAGAUAAUUGUGUGUGUGUGUGUGUGUGUGUGUGUGUGUGUGUGUGUGUGUGUGUGUGUGUUGCAGGGGAGUUGAGGACGGGAGGGGACGCAGGGCUUGGGACACAGGCAGGGUGGGAAAUGCUAAGCAUUUCUGAUCCCCAUCCGCCACGAUCCUAGCCUGGUUUUGUGUGUUGGUGAACACCGAAGUCCCUCCCGGCCUCGGGACUGGAGGUUUUUGAAGCCAAAGGUGUUGUCGUUUUCCAUGUAUUAUUAUCUUUUCAUUCAUCCACUCUGUGCCUUGUCAGCCUUUGAAAGUCUUGGUUGCGCCCAGGCUGCUGUUCUCAGGGACCUUACAAGGGACCUGGUUGGUCUUGGGGCAGAGAGUGUCUUCUAGGAUACUCUUCCAAGAGAGACCUUGUCUCCAUUUCCAUGAGAGAAUGCUGCUUGCACGUGUUCGGGAGGCUCUUCUAAACGGGAUGCGCGUGCCACCGUUUCCUAGGCGAGGGGCUGCCGUUAGACCAGAGGACCACGCCUGGUGGGCCAAUCAUGUGCUUCACCGCUGUGCCUUAGACUCCCCCAGGGCAGGUGGACCCUCAGGGCAGAGGGGCAAGCAGAUCCCAGAUCCCAGCAAUCCCAUGGGUUGGGCAGCCUGUCUGGAGCCUUCCUCGGGACCCUCAUCUCCAUCCGCAUCUCCACGAGCACUGACCCAGAGCUCUUUGAUUGUGACACCACGCUGGUCAUUAUAAACCUUGAUGGGCUGGCCCUGGCCUGUGACUUCACAAUCCACGAUGAAGAACUGUGAUGCCAAUAAGAUCUAAAGAGAGUUUAGCAAUGAUGUAAGUGGUGACUAAAUACAGAAUGUCUUUGAAUAAAUACCUG
This 1286-nucleotide long non-coding RNA is filed under the name Sus scrofa (pig). RNAcentral's name for it is "lncRNA (ENSSSCG00065043236.1)". The record is from RNAcentral. Lineage: Eukaryota; Metazoa; Chordata; Mammalia; Artiodactyla; Suidae.